RNAcentral lists this ribosomal RNA (328 nucleotides) under Pseudomonas aeruginosa. Its description in RNAcentral is "bacterial SSU rRNA". It matches the Rfam family "Bacterial small subunit ribosomal RNA", at positions 1 to 331 of the family's 1533-position model. The record is from RNAcentral. Lineage: Bacteria; Pseudomonadati; Pseudomonadota; Gammaproteobacteria; Pseudomonadales; Pseudomonadaceae.
GAACUGAAGAGUUUGAUCAUGGCUCAGAUUGAACGCUGGCGGCAGGCCUAACACAUGCAAGUCGAGCGGAUGAAGGGAGCUUGCUCCUGGAUUCAGCGGCGGACGGGUGAGUAAUGCCUAGGAAUCUGCCUGGUAGUGGGGGAUAACGUCCGGAAACGGGCGCUAAUACCGCAUACGUCCUGAGGGAGAAAGUGGGGGAUCUUCGGACCUCACGCUAUCAGAUGAGCCUAGGUCGGAUUAGCUAGUUGGUGGGGUAAAGGCCUACCAAGGCGACGAUCCGUAACUGGUCUGAGAGGAUGAUCAGUCACACUGGAACUGAGACACGGUC